Molecule: ribosomal RNA, 210 nt
Filed under: Escherichia coli
Lineage: Bacteria; Pseudomonadati; Pseudomonadota; Gammaproteobacteria; Enterobacterales; Enterobacteriaceae
Description: partial 16S ribosomal RNA
Rfam family: Bacterial small subunit ribosomal RNA
Source: RNAcentral
AAAUUGAAGAGUUUGAUCAUGGCUCAGAUUGAACGCUGGCGGCAGGCCUAACACAUGCAAGUCGAACGGUAACAGGAAACAGCUUGCUGUUUCGCUGACGAGUGGCGGACGGGUGAGUAAUGUCUGGGAAACUGCCUGAUGGAGGGGGAUAACUACUGGAAACGGUAGCUAAUACCGCAUAACGUCGCAAGACCAAAGAGGGGGACCCUC